GGCUUACCAUGCAGUCGACGGGCGUAGCAAUACGUCAGUGGCAGACGGGUGAGUAACGCGUGGGAACGUACCUUUUGGUUCGGAACAACACAGGGAAACUUGUGCUAAUACCGGAUAAGCCCUUACGGGGAAAGAUUUAUCGCCGAAAGAUCGGCCCGCGUCUGAUUAGCUAGUUGGUGAGGUAAUGGCUCACCAAGGCGACGAUCAGUAGCUGGUCUGAGAGGAUGAUCAGCCACAUUGGGACUGAGACACGGCCCAAACUCCUACGGGAGGCAGCAGUGGGGAAUAUUGGACAAUGGGCGAAAGCCUGAUCCAGCCAUGCCGCGUGAGUGAUGAAGGCCCUAGGGUUGUAAAGCUCUUUUGUGCGGGAAGAUAAUGACGGUACCGCAAGAAUAAGCCCCGGCUAACUUCGUGCCAGCAGCCGCGGUAAUACGAAGGGGGCUAGCGUUGCUCGGAAUCACUGGGCGUAAAGGGUGCGUAGGCGGGUUUCUAAGUCAGAGGUGAAAGCCUGGAGCUCAACUCCAGAACUGCCUUUGAUACUGGAAGUCUUGAGUAUGGCAGAGGUGAGUGGAACUGCGAGUGUAGAGGUGAAAUUCGUAGAUGUUCGCAAGAACACCAGUGGCGAAGGCGGCUCACUGGGCCAUUACUGACGCUGAGGCACGAAAGCGUGGGGAGCAAACAGGAUUAGAUACCCUGGUAGUCCACGCCGUAAACGAUGAAUGCCAGCCGUUAGUGGGUUUACUCACUAGUGGCGCAGCUAACGCUUUAAGCAUUCCGCCUGGGGGAGUACGGGUCGCAAGAUUAAAACUUCAAGGAAUUUGACGGGGGGCCCGCACAAGCGGGUGAGCAUGGUGGUUUAUUCCGACGCACCGCUGCAGAACUUUACUCAGCCUCUGGACAAUGUCCAGGACCGGGUCGCAGAGAACGUGAACCUUUCUCUUUCGAAACCUUGGAAGCACAGCUGC
Molecule: ribosomal RNA, 965 nt
Filed under: Rhodopseudomonas palustris
Lineage: Bacteria; Pseudomonadati; Pseudomonadota; Alphaproteobacteria; Hyphomicrobiales; Nitrobacteraceae
Description: bacterial SSU rRNA
Rfam family: Bacterial small subunit ribosomal RNA
Source: RNAcentral